GACGAACGCUGGCGGCGCGCCUAACACAUGCAAGUCGAACGGUGAAGAGGAGCUUGCUCCUCGGAUCAGUGGCGGACGGGUGAGUAACACGUGAGCAACCUGGCUCUAAGAGGGGGACAACAGCUGGAAACGGCUGCUAAUACCGCAUAAACUUUUUAAGACCCAUGUUUUAAAAAGGAAGGUGGCGCAAGCUAUCGCUUAUGGAUGGGCCCGCGUCUGAUUAGCUAGUUGGUGGGGUAACGGCCUACCAAGGCAACGAUCAGUAGCCGGCCUGAGAGGGUGGACGGCCACACUGGGACUGAGACACGGCCCAGACUCCUACGGGAGCAGCAGUGGGGAAUAUGCGCAAGUGGGGGAAACCCUGACGCAGCGACGCCGCGUG
This 382-nucleotide ribosomal RNA is filed under the name uncultured bacterium. RNAcentral's name for it is "bacterial SSU rRNA". It matches the Rfam family "Bacterial small subunit ribosomal RNA", at positions 28 to 403 of the family's 1533-position model. The record is from RNAcentral.